This 714-nucleotide ribosomal RNA is filed under the name uncultured Bacilli bacterium. RNAcentral's name for it is "bacterial SSU rRNA". It matches the Rfam family "Bacterial small subunit ribosomal RNA", at positions 71 to 768 of the family's 1533-position model. Lineage: Bacteria; Bacillati; Bacillota; Bacilli. The record is from RNAcentral.
GACGGGAGCUUGCUCCCUUAGGUCAGCGGCGGACGGGUGAGUAACACGUGGGUAACCUGCCUGUAAGACUGGGAUAACUCCGGGAAACCGGGGCUAAUACCGGAUGCUUGAUUGAACCGCAUGGUUCAAUCAUAAAAGGUGGCUUUUAGCUACCACUUACAGAUGGACCCGCGGCGCAUUAGCUAGUUGGUGAGGUAACGGCUCACCAGGGCGACGAUGCGUAGCCGACCUGAGAGGGUGAUCGGCCACACUGGGACUGAGACACGGCCCAGACUCCUACGGGAGGCAGCAGUAGGGAAUCUUCCGCAAUGGACGAAAGUCUGACGGAGCAACGCCGCGUGAGUGAUGAAGGUUUUCGGAUCGUAAAACUCUGUUGUUAGGGAAGAACAAGUACCGUUCGAAUAGGGCGGCACCUUGACGGUACCUAACCAGAAAGCCACGGCUAACUACGUGCCAGCAGCCGCGGUAAUACGUAGGUGGCAAGCGUUGUCCGGAAUUAUUGGGCGUAAAGCGCGCGCAGGCGGUUUCUUAAGUCUGAUGUGAAAGCCCCCGGCUCAACCGGGGAGGGUCAUUGGAAACUGGGGAACUUGAGUGCAGAAGAGGAGAGUGGAAUUCCACGUGUAGCGGUGAAAUGCGUAGAGAUGUGGAGGAACACCAGUGGCGAAGGCGACUCUCUGGUCUGUAACUGACGCUGAGGCGCGAAAGCGUGGGGAG